UGCGGAGCUUACCAUGCAGUCGAGCGGAACGAUGGUAGCUUGCUACCAGGCGUCGAGCGGCGGACGGGUGAGUAAUACUUAGGAAUCUACCUAGUAGUGGGGGAUAGCUCGGGGAAACUCGAAUUAAUACCGCAUACGACCUACGGGAGAAAGGGGGCAGUUUACUGCUCUCGCUAUUAGAUGAGCCUAAGUCGGAUUAGCUAGAUGGUGGGGUAAAGGCCUACCAUGGCGACGAUCUGUAGCUGGUCUGAGAGGAUGAUCAGCCACACCGGGACUGAGACACGGCCCGGACUCCUACGGGAGGCAGCAGUGGGGAAUAUUGGACAAUGGGGGAAACCCUGAUCCAGCCAUGCCGCGUGUGUGAAGAAGGCCUUUUGGUUGUAAAGCACUUUAAGCAGUGAAGAAGACUCUUCGGUUAAUACCCGGAGACGAUGACAUUAGCUGCAGAAUAAGCACCGGCUAACUCUGUGCCAGCAGCCGCGGUAA
Molecule: ribosomal RNA, 486 nt
Filed under: uncultured Psychrobacter sp.
Lineage: Bacteria; Pseudomonadati; Pseudomonadota; Gammaproteobacteria; Moraxellales; Moraxellaceae
Description: bacterial SSU rRNA
Rfam family: Bacterial small subunit ribosomal RNA
Source: RNAcentral